UACGUAGGUGGCGAGCGUUGUCCGGAUUUACUGGGCGUAAAGGGAGCGUAGGCGGACUUUUAAGUGAGAUGUGAAAUACUCGGGCUCAACUUGAGUGCUGCAUUUCAAACUGGAAGUCUAGAGUGCAGGAGAGGAGAAUGGAAUUCCUAGUGUAGCGGUGAAAUGUGUAGAGAUUAGGAAGAACACCAGUGGCGAAGGCGAUUCUCUGGACUGUGACUGACGCUGAGGCUCGAAAGCGUGGGGAGCAAACAGG
This 253-nucleotide ribosomal RNA is filed under the name uncultured bacterium. RNAcentral's name for it is "partial 16S ribosomal RNA". It matches the Rfam family "Bacterial small subunit ribosomal RNA", at positions 524 to 776 of the family's 1533-position model. The record is from RNAcentral.